This 2175-nucleotide long non-coding RNA is filed under the name Olea europaea (common olive). RNAcentral describes it as "long non-coding RNA (OEUR_LNC008337)". Lineage: Eukaryota; Viridiplantae; Streptophyta; Magnoliopsida; Lamiales; Oleaceae. The record is from RNAcentral.
GCCAGGACAAAUGAUUGAAGAGAAGUAGAAGUCAGCUUUGACAUUUACAUUAUCAUUAUUUUUUUUCCCUUAUCGUUUAGCUUCACAAAGUUUCACUUUAACCUCAUUCUUAAUCGUACAUUUGGCUUCUCACCAUUGUCCGUCCAGUCUAAAUCUAAUAAUAAUUCUAAAAAAUUCUAUCCCUCUUCCACCCACCCCUAACCUCCGCCCUUAAAAGGUAUAACUUCAUCCGAACAUAGAGUUAGAUGAUAUGAAGGAAUGAUAAUGAUUACUUGGAGGUUGAGGAAUAUUUUUUGUAAAUGAUUGCCACGUGGUGUGACUAGCAACAAGCCAGGAUCCAAAUGAUUGGAGAGAAUUAUGAGUCAACUUUGUGCUUUACGUUACCUAUAAUUUUCAAAAACAUUUAUAUUUCACAAAGUUUGACUUCAAUCUCAUUCUUAAUUGUACAUUCAACUGCUCGCUGAUGUAUGAUAAUACCUAGCCCUUUCUCACCAUUGUCCAAUCGAAUCUUAAAUGAUAAUCUAUUUACUCUUUCAUCCACCUCCGCCCUUAUAGCAGUAUAGCAAUUAAAGCAACCCAAAAUACAAUGAAGUCGUUAAUGAACAAAAUCUGAAGCCAUAAUAGUGAGAGUGAUACCAAUACAAGAACAAAGAGAUAGUUGAUAUGAAGGAAAGCCUUAUGCUUACUUGGAAAGUGAGUUAGUGGAUAUGAAGGAAUGAUAAUGAUUACUUGGAGGUUGAGGAAUAUUUUUUGUAAAUGAUUGCCACGUGGUGUGACUAGCAACAAGCCAGCAUCCAAAUGAUUGGAGAGAAUUAUAAGUCAACUUUGUGCUUUAAGUUAUCUAUAAUUUUCAAAAACAUUUAUAUUUCACAUAGUUUGACUUCAAUCUUAUUCUUAAUUGUACAUUCAACUGCUCGCUGAUGGAUGAUAAUACCUAGCCCUUUCUCACCAUUGUCCAAUCGAAUCUUAAAUGAAAAUCUAUUUACUCUUUCAUCCACCUCCGCCCUUAUAGCAGUAUGGCAAUUAAAGCAACCCAAAAUACAAUGAAGUCGUUAAUGAACAAAAUCUGAAGCCAUAAUAGUAGAGUGAUACCAAUACAAGAACAAAGAGAUAGUUGAUAUGAAGGAAAGCCUUAUGCUUACUUGGAAAGUGAGUGAGACGAUAUGAAGGAAUGACAAUGAUUACUUGAAGGUUGAGGAAUAUUUUUUGUAAAUGAUUGCCACGUGGUGUGACUAGCAACAAGCCAGCAUCCAAAUGAUUGGAGAGAAUUACGAGUCAACUUUGUGUUUUACGUUAUCUAUAUUUUUCAAAAACAUUUAUAUUUCUCAAAGUUUGACUUCAAUCUCAUUCUUAAUUGUACAUUCAACUGCUCGCUGAUGAUAAUACCUAGCCCUUUCUCACCAUUGUCCAAUCGAAUUUUAAAUGAAAAUCUAUUUAUUCUUUCAUCCACCUCCGCCCUUAUAGCAGAAUAGCAAUUAAAGCAACCCAAAAUACAAUGAAGUCGUUAAUGAACAAAAUCUGAAGCCAUAAUAGUUAGAGUGAUACCAAUACAAGAACAAUGAGAUAGUUGAUAUGAAGGAAAGCCUUAUGCUUACUUGGAAAGUGAGUUAGACGAUAUGAAGGAAUGACAAUGAUUACUUGAAGGUUGAGGAAUAUUUUUUGUAAAUGAUUGCCACGUGGUGUGACUAGCAACAAGCCAGUAUCCAAAUGAUUGGAGAGAAUUAUGAGUCAACUUUGUGCUUUACGUUAUCUAUAUUUUUCAAAAACAUUUAUAUUUCACAAAGUUUGACUUCAAUCUCAUUCUUAAUUGUACAUUCAACUGCUCGCUGAUUAUAAUACCUAGCCCUUUCUCACCAUUGUCCAAUCGAAUCUUAAAUGAAAAUCUAUUUACUCUGAUGAGGACAUCCAAUUUUAAUUAAUUUUAGCAAUUUUAAUUAUUUUAGUUGGAACUUAGGUUAUUUUAAUUUCAUGGACUUUUGUAUUGGGCUUGGCCCUAGGUUUGCAUUAUUUUUCCAGUAUUUAAACCUAUCUUACAUUGUUAUUUGAGUUAAUGAAUUUGAUGAAAUAAAAGAGUUGGCUUCAGCCGUUUCUCCUCUCUCCCCGCCUCUGCCUUCUUCUUCUCUUCUCCUCCCCUUCCCUUCUUGUUAUUUACUAAUUCAGUAAUCUCCCUACAUC